CCUACGGGAGGCAGCAGUAGGGAAUCUUGGUCAAUGGACGAGAGUCUGAAGGAGCCACGUAGCGUGAAGGAUGACUGCCCUAUGGGUGGUAAGCUUCUUUUGUAGAGGAGUAAGACGAGGCACGUGCGCCUUUUUGCAUGUACUUUAUGAAUUUGGAUCGGCUAACUCCGUGCCAGCAGCCGCGGUAAUACGGAGGAUCCGAGCGUUGUCCGGAUUUAUUGGGUUUAAAGGGAGCGUAGAUGGGUUGUUAAGUCAGGUGUGAAAGUUUGCGGCUCAACCGUAAAAUUGCAAUUGAUACUGGCAGUCUUGAGUACAGUUGAGGUAGGUGGAAUUCGUGGUGUAGCGGUGAAAUGCUUAGAUAUAACGAAGAACCCCGAUGGCGAAGGCAGCUCACUAAACUGCGACUGACACUGAGGCUCGAAAGUGUGGGUAUCAAACAGGAUUAGAUACCCCAGUAGUC
Molecule: ribosomal RNA, 460 nt
Filed under: uncultured bacterium
Lineage: Bacteria
Description: partial 16S ribosomal RNA
Rfam family: Bacterial small subunit ribosomal RNA
Source: RNAcentral